This 237-nucleotide ribosomal RNA is filed under the name Triticum aestivum (bread wheat). RNAcentral describes it as "partial small subunit ribosomal RNA". Lineage: Eukaryota; Viridiplantae; Streptophyta; Magnoliopsida; Poales; Poaceae. The record is from RNAcentral.
AUGUCUUCCUCCGGCUCCUUCUCGCCUAGCCUCAACAACCAGGUCACAGAGAAGUUAUCACGCACAAACUACGUGCCGUGGCGCACGCAGAUCACACCUCAGCUGCGCGGUGCCGGCGUCUUCAGCUACAUCGACGGCACCAAUCCAGAGCCGGCCAAGCUCCUCGUCACCACCAAGGAUAACAAGGAGACUACAUCGCCCAACCCUCUUCACCCUAUAUGGGUACGGGAGGAUCAG